This is a long non-coding RNA of Hordeum vulgare subsp. vulgare (domesticated barley), 577 nucleotides long. RefSeq lists it as uncharacterized. The transcript has 3 exons. Lineage: Eukaryota; Viridiplantae; Streptophyta; Magnoliopsida; Poales; Poaceae. The record is from RefSeq and is a predicted model, not a curated record.
GCGGCAUAUGGGCGAUUUGCACGUCCGAUGAACGAUCAGGUCAAGUUCUUCGACCCGUGUUGCACGAUUUCUAAGUUCUUGUAUGAAAUUAAACCCACCUGCCAAGUUCUUGUAGCUGGAGCACAAUUAGCUCUUCUUUUUUCAUUAACAUUCCCUUCCCCUAGCCGUUGGUUCGACGACUGGAAGCCCUGGCGGCCUGGCCCCAGCACGGCGAUGGCCACGCGACCUCUCCUCUUCACGGCGUGGUGCCCUCUCCUCUUCCCCGACCUGCUCCGCGGCAGACAUGCGAUGGCUUCGCGCCGCCUGUUUCCGCCCCAGAUUCGUUCUGGUCCGCGAGCUACGGUAGCCCUGCAGCUGGAGGUCAUUGAUGAGGGCCUAGAUUGGAAAGUCAUUGUAAUAGAUUGGAGAAGAACAUAUCAUUGAAUGUAAUUGUGUACACAUCCUUCCAAUCAGCACCUGUAGAAAAUACAGAAAUGUGAUGCUGCAAAGGUCGUGUUGUCUUGCCAGUUCCACGAAUGAAAUACGGAGUACUAAGGUUCAACUAUUCAACAACAACAACAACAACCAAGCCUUUCAG